Molecule: non-coding RNA, 2013 nt
Organism: Arachis ipaensis
Lineage: Eukaryota; Viridiplantae; Streptophyta; Magnoliopsida; Fabales; Fabaceae
Source: RefSeq, a predicted model, not a curated record
UUGAUGAUAUUUUGCAGAAUGAAGAUAAUGUUUAGGCUUUUCACUCUUUUGUGUUUUGUUGAUUAUCCAUUAGAAGAUUCAAGAACUAUUGGAUGCUUCUUGGGAUACUUUUGAGAUGCACAGUUGAUUUUCUUGGGUUGUUUUACACGAUACAACUUGGUUGGUUGGUGGUAACAAAGUACCGGAAGAAAGACACACUGUUAAAGUGAAAUUGAAGAUGGCUCAGAAUGGAAGAAUUUUAAAAUUGUAUAUAUCCUUUCUAAUGCCUAUCUAAAUCACUGAAUGUUGAUAUUGGUUGUCAUUUGUUGAUUUUAGAAGUGUUUAUGAAUUUUGAUAUUGGUACUUUUCUUUAUAAAGGAAGUGAGUGAUUGAUUGAUUGAUAAAAUAGCAAGAAAUUUUAGUCAAAUAGAGUAGGUGAGUCAAUUUCUGCACGAGAGUCGAAAAAAAUAGGUGUAAUGUACUUAGGUAGCUUGUGGCUGACUCAUUUGUCUUUUGAUUUUUGAACUAUAAUCUUGUAUUUUUUUUCUCUUUUCGAAUUACAUUAUCAUUAGAGUGUUAACAUUAUUAAUUUUAGUCCAUAUAAUAAUACUAUUAGUAAUUUAGUAUGCAUAAUAGACUAUGGUUUAAAAUAAUACCGUUUCCAGUGGUAAAUCUUCUUUAUUUAUUUCCUUCUAUGUGGAUUGAAUUUUUUGUAUUUAGAAAGAGAGUUUUAAUUUUUUUAAAUAGAAAAUAAGAGUUUUUUUUUUUAAUGUAAAAAUUGGGCAAAAUUAGAUAGUUUGUGAUGUAUUCAAAAUAACUUAUUAUCAUAAGCUUUUAGAACCACUUUUAGGGAAAUUACUUUUUUUUUCUUGAAGCAAUUUUUAAGUUUUAACAAAAACAUGUAAUUGCAGAUUUUAGGUAUUAAGGGUUAGGUUUGAAUGUUUGGAGUAGUUUCAUGCAAAAGGUGUGUGUUUAGGUUAAUUUAUUUGUGCUCAGUCAAAAAUUUCUUGAGACAUUUAUUGAAGAAAAAAUAUGUGUAUUUAUUCCCUAAAAUUAUGUUAAGCAGAGUUGCUCUAUAUGAAAGUGUGACUACAACAUUUCAAAUACAUUUUGAAACGAGCGAUUAUAACAUUUGAAGUUAUUUAGUUAUGUGAAUAUUCUAACUCUGAAAAAUUCCUAAUGCUUUCAUCCUUAAUCCGAUUGCUAUUACAUGAAGUUGAUCUGUUUGAAAGAUACAUUUAUAUUUAAAAAAAACUAAAUAUACUGUUAAUGAUUAUCUUUAAUUUUAAAGACCUAUAUAUGUCCAAAGUUAUCUUCUAUGUUUUUUAUGUGACAUUUUUAUAAACAUUUGUGGUGCAAGAGUUUAAAUAUCCUACAAAGUAUAUUCCAUCACAUCAUCUAUAUUUUUCAGAGUGAAUCUUCACUUCAAUUGUGAUAUCAUAUGAUCAACGAAGGAGUUAGAAGGUAACAAUAUCUAGGUGCAAAGUUAGAAGUUAACAAUAUCUUUAUAUGCUUUUUGAAAUUUUCUUUCUUUUAUGUUCACUAUGAUUAACUAUAAGUUGAUUUUGAUUUUUUAUCUAAUGCUUUGAGUUGUUGCGUAAUAUUCUUCAAUGCGAUAUCUUUUGCUCCAUAUAUUUUAUGGGGCUAAUACUACUCUUUAUUAUAGACAUUUUUGUUUGACAUAUAUUAUGUUAUAAUAGAAUUAAUCUCAUUUAAAAGAUUCAUAUAAUUGCAACAUUAAGACUUCGUUCUGUAUCAUGUUGAUCCUCUGUGAUUCUAGAAUUUUUUAAUGCUAUGAGAUAUGUUUGUAUAAUCCUUUGUACCCCUUUGUUUGGGUCCAUAUGCGAGUUUUGCAGGGAAAGAAAGAAGAAAAAAGGAGAACAAUAUUCAUGAUUAAUUUGGUGGUACUGUGUAAUAAUAUACGAACUAUGCGCCUUCAUUUUUUAUUAUUUCAUAAACAAUUCUAAUUACUUUUCAAUUAUUUUGGUUAAUCAGUACUUUUUAUUUUUAUAUCAUUCCUAAGUGAUUUUGUUC